RNAcentral lists this long non-coding RNA (3358 nucleotides) under Olea europaea subsp. europaea. The record is from RNAcentral. Lineage: Eukaryota; Viridiplantae; Streptophyta; Magnoliopsida; Lamiales; Oleaceae.
CGGUUCCUGAAGAACCAGAGGUGUCCGAAAAUAAUGAGAUCUCAAUAAAUUAUAUGAUAUCUCAUAAAUUAUGGGAACGGAAUAAUAUUGUUAUAGACAAUAUUUUCGCCUUUAACAUGGCUCUUGAUAUUAUGCAAAAUGAGGAUCCUGAACCACAGUCUGUUAAUGACUGUCGAAAUAGAAAUGAUUGGCCAAAAUGGAAAGAAGCCAUACAGGCAGAAUUGAAUUCUUUGGAGAAACGAAAAGUGUUUGGACUAGUAGUUCGAACACCUGAAAAUGUAAUCCCUGUUGGAUACAAAUGGGUUUUUGUACGAAAGAGAAAUGAGAAUAAUGAAAUUACAAGAUACAAAGCCCGACUAGUGGCUCAAGGUUUCUCCCAAAGACCGGGAAUUGAUUAUGAGGAAACAUAUUCUCCCGUAAUGGAUACCAUCACUUUUAGGUUCUUAAUUAGUUUGACCGUGUCACAAGGGCUCGAUAUGCGCCUUAUGGAUGUAGUAACUGCCUACCUAUAUGGUUCACUUGACAGUGACAUAUAUAUGAAAGUCCCUGAAGGAUUUAAGGUGCCAGGAAUAAAUGAUACAUGUCCGAGAACUAUGUUCUCAAUUAAAUUGCAAAAAUCAUUAUAUGGAUUGAAACAAUCCGGACGCAUGUGGUAUAAUCGCCUUAGCGAAUAUUUGUUGAAAGAGGGUUAUAAAAAUGACGAUAUCUGCCCAUGUGUUUUCAUAAAGAAAACAAAUAUUGGAUUUGCAAUUGUGGCAGUUUAUGUUGAUGAUUUAAAUUUAAUUGGAACUCCUGAAGAGCUCAACAAAACUGCAGAUUAUUUGAGAAAUGAAUUUGAGAUGAAAGAUUUGGGGAAAACCAAAUUUUGUCUUGGAUUACAAAUUGAACAUUUUCCAGAGGGAUUAUUUGUUCAUCAAUCUAAUUAUACAAAAAAAAAGUCUUGAAACGAUUUUAUAUGGAUAAUGCACAUCCAUUGUCAUCACCUAUGGUUGUUCGAUCACUUGAUAUGAAAAAAUAUCCAUUUCGUCCACUUGAAGAUGGAGAAAAGAUUCUUGGUCCUGAAAUACCAUACCUUAGUGCAAUUGGAGUAUUAACUUAUAUUGCAAAUUGCACUCGUCUUGACAUAGCUUUUUUAGUAAAUCUCCUUGCUAGUUAUAGCUCUACACCAACUCAAAGGCAUUGGAAUGGUGUUAAACAUAUUUUUCAUUACCUAUAAAUAUAGGACUUUAAUUUUCAAUAAUAUACUCAAAAAAAAGUUUAUUGAGUUUUCUUUAUUCUCUUUAAGUUUUCUCUAUUCUCUUUUCCUCUCAUUUUAUAACAAUCAUUUUUUUUUUCAAGUUUCUAGCUAGUCUACAUUUUUUAGUCUUCUACUCUUUCCUUUGACUUUUCCAAAGUGGUUUUCUAAACUUUCCAAGAAUAAAUAUUCAAAUUUUUCGGCCAACUGUUGAAAAUUUGGACCAAUGGAAGUGAUUUGUAUUUCAAAUACAGGGAAAAACUCACGCCUUAAUACAAUUCAGUUACUUACAAGUAUUUAUUCAUUAAUCAAACAAUAACAAUACUUAAAAGUACAAAGCAUAAUUAAAUAAUUGCCAUGUUCCGUAUAUAACUAAUACUUUCCAAUUGCCAAACAUAUCAAGAUUUUGAAUUUUAGCAACAAGGAAGCCUGUCAAACCUUAUUACUCCUACCUGCCCAUCUUUGAAUUGCAAAUUUGCUAUAUUCCAUUAAAAUUAUGUUUAUGAAAAAUGAAAUUAAAAAAGAACAAAUAUAAAAACAGGAAAAAUUAAAAUUACCAAAAUAAAUGAAAAAUAAAAAAUGAAAGACUUGUUUCCUCAAAUGGAAAACAGAAUAAUUUCCGCUCAUCAAAAUCCAUUAUUCAUCAAAUCUAACAUACAAGUUCAGGGAUAAUUUGCACAAACUAAUAUAAAAACAAAUUCUACAUUUUAUGAGGCAUUGUGAAAAAUAGGAAAUUUUUUUAAAAAAUUGACUAAGGUAAAAGCGAACAAAUAAAAAAAACAUAUUUAACUUAAAAUUACAACCAUCCUAAUAAAUAAUUUCAAUCACUUUACAUGAUACUUAAGAGUUAAAGUUUGCAAAUGAAUUUUUCGUUAGUUUUACUUAGGGAUGAUCAACGAAACAGUCGAAAUGAACUGAAAACGCUUUUUUAAAAGUUGGUUUGGAUCCACAUGAAUCUUUCAACUUUUUGGUUUUGAACUGAAAAGCGGUUUGGUUUAGCUUUCAAUUUUCGUGAACCGUUUCAAAUCGCCAAAUCACUUAAAAAAAAUGUAAAAAUUAAUUAAUUUAAAUUUUAUUCCACCCAAUUAAAACUGAACAGGUCUCAAAAUUCUUACCUCAUAACAAUUCCUUAAAAUAAUUUCAUCUCCGCCCAAAAUCCCUUUUUCCCCGCAUCAACACCAGAAUCUGAAUUUUCUGCCUAAGGUAAUAGAAUUGCCACAUUGUUUAUGUUAAUUAUGUGAAUUGAAUUUAAAUUCUUGAGCAUCAUCAUUAGCGUUUAAUCCAAAUGAAUAAAGUUGCAGAAAACUGGGGUUUUUUCCGCAGCGGUAAGGCCCACUAAUUUGUAUUUAAGCAGGUCAAAUAAUACAUUUUGCUUUUUAAAUAUUUUGGCCUUAUACUGCAAGUUGAUAAUGAUGAAUCUCUUUUUAAUUAGAAUAAUUAGUUAACUUGUUAAUCAAAUAAUUAAUUAUCGGACAUAUUUGAAUUAUUUUCUAUUUAGACAAUUUAUGACAAGGAAGGUUGUGGCAAGCAGGUUCGUAUAACUAUAUAGACUAGCUAACAAUUAGACAGCUUUUGCCUGCCUGAUGGCUAGUUAAAAAAGAACCCUGCUUGUCAACAUUAAGAGGAACAGCUCUCUCACAUGAGAGAGUCCCACGAUCAAAGUGAUAUUGGAAGUUACCAUUUUAAGUGAUAUCUCUUAAAGUUAGUGCUAUACAAGUAGAAUUUCCUUAAAAAAAUUGUUAAAGUAUCUAGAAUUAGUGGCGCAUAUAUCAUGUUUUUUUUAGUAAUGUGGGCUGAUAUAUCAUCUUUAAAGUUAAAAUAUAAAUAAAUAAACAUUUUGUUUUUAAACAACUUAAAAAUUUUAAAAGUAGGACUGAGAGGUAACAGCGAGGAGACGAGGGACAUGGUCCUCACGGGAUCCCAAACCUAUCCGACCUUUUAUCUUUUAUUAUUUUAUACUUUAAAAUUUAUAUCAAAUUUCUUGAAAAAAUAAUAAACGUGAUGAUAAAUGAACAUAUUUUAGUCCUCACCUCGCCACAGUCUUGGAUCUCGAAAAUGCCCAACAGAGUGGGGACGGAGGGCCCCACCUCAUUGCAAUCCCUAAUUAAAAGUAGUAGUUCAAGU